RNAcentral lists this ribosomal RNA (314 nucleotides) under uncultured Glomeromycotina. RNAcentral describes it as "LSU rRNA". Lineage: Eukaryota; Fungi; Glomeromycota. The record is from RNAcentral.
UUGAAAGGGAAACGAUUGAAGUCAGUCGUGCAGUCAUCAACUCAACGGUAUCGUGAGGUAAUUUAUUGCUUUACGUUUCCGUGUACUUUGUUGUCUGCUGGUUAGCAUCAAUUUUGAUUGUCAUAAAAAGGUUAAGGGGAUGUGGCUCCUUCGGGAGUGUUAUAACCCUUGGCGGAAUGUGGCGAUUGGGAUUGAGGUUUGCACGAUUAUAGUUUCCUGGCCUCUCAUCGACGUCUGAAUUGUGGAAGCUUGCUGAAGCAGUUUAGACCGUUAGUGAAAAGGUUGGAGCGACUAGAUCGUUAAGGAUUGACGUA